UGGUGACCAUAGUGGAGGUGUUACACCCGUUCCCUUUUCGAACACGGAAGUUAAGCCCUCUCACGCCGAUGAUACUGCCCCGUAAAGGGUGGGAAAGUAGGUCGUUGCCAG
RNAcentral lists this ribosomal RNA (111 nucleotides) under Spirochaetia bacterium. Lineage: Bacteria; Pseudomonadati; Spirochaetota; Spirochaetia. The record is from RNAcentral.